GGUGCCUCCCGAGGAAGAGGAAAGAGUGUGGGGAAGCAGUGAGGACUGGAGUUCAGCUCUGCACGAAGUUUCCUGAUAUGUCAGAACUUUUUUCCCCUUGGAAAAUGGCAGACUGCUGAGAGCAAGGAGUAAGAAUGAAAGACUUGGCAAUGUGGUUAUAGCCCUGGUUGUCCAGUGAGUCUUCAGAGGAAUGAGGCCUGGCAAACGCUGCCUGGUGCAGCUGGAAGAUAGCAGCAAGGAGAGAAACCAAACCCUGCUGACUGGGGCUGAGUGAGAGAUCAGAGGCUGCUUUUUCUUCAGGAAAAUUCUCCUUUGAAAGUCUGGUGUCUUGAUCAGCCCAUUUGCUGUUACCUGUCCACAAAUGGCUCUCAGAUGAGAUCUACUUCAGCUCCUGAAAGUGAUGCGGCAUUAACAGCAGCUGGUUCUGAAGAAAACACACUGAUGAAGUCCUUCAGCAUCUAUAGCACCCAGUUCACUUUGGUCUUGCUGUAAAUUUUCCUAGAUCCUGCUCUUUUACUGGAGACUGAGAAGGCCUCUCCAGGCUGGAAUCUGGCAGGAAAACAUCCACCAGUACGCUAACAGCAAUAUUGGACCAGACUGUACUUCAGGAAGUCCUCUGGGAGAGAUGAUCAAGGAAGCACAGCUGGGCAACUGCAGAUGCAAAAGAUAACCGAGGCUAAAGCCACCAAUAAACUGCAGAAUCCUACCACAAAUUAUAUCAGCACAUGAAUUUAAUUUCUAGAUUGUUCAUUAAUAUCAUUUGGAUAUGUACAUGCUCCUCCUGGGUGUUUGCCACAGUCUCUAAACUGGUACAUAAGGAACUACUUUGGUAGUGAGUUACAAAAAUGUUUAUUGCUCUAUUAGAGGAAGAAAUAUCAGAAGUAGAGGAGUAAUAUGGGUAACAGGCAGAAAUAGAGAAGCUAUUCCAAAGGAUAUGGUAAUUGGAACAGUCAGUGAGGUUAUCACUGGCUGGUGCAUAUUCUGGCUGUGGGCGGUGUUGCAGCAUUGUCUGGACUCGGUUCCUUUCCUUGUCCUUACCCGCGUUGUGCCAGCCCUGCUCAACCCUAAAUCAGUCUGGAUGGAAAUUCAAGUAUUCAUUUUCAAUAA
This is a non-coding RNA of Cyanistes caeruleus (blue tit), 1107 nucleotides long. The record is from RefSeq and is a predicted model, not a curated record. Lineage: Eukaryota; Metazoa; Chordata; Aves; Passeriformes; Paridae.